This 253-nucleotide ribosomal RNA is filed under the name uncultured bacterium. RNAcentral's name for it is "partial 16S ribosomal RNA". It matches the Rfam family "Bacterial small subunit ribosomal RNA", at positions 524 to 776 of the family's 1533-position model. The record is from RNAcentral.
UACGUAGGAUGCAAGCGUUAAUCGGAAUUACUGGGCGUAAAGCGUGCGCAGGCGGCUUUGCAAGACAGAUGUGAAAUCCCCGGGCUCAACCUGGGAACUGCAUUUGUGACUGCAUGGCUGGAGUGCGGCAGAGGGGGAUGGAAUUCCGCGUGUAGCAGUGAAAUGCGUAGAUAUGCGGAGGAACACCGAUGGCGAAGGCAAUCCCCUGGGCCUGCACUGACGCUCAUGCACGAAAGCGUGGGGAGCAAACAGG